UACGUAGGGGGCAAGCGUUGUCCGGAAUUAUUGGGCGUAAAGGGUGCGUAGGCGGCCUUUCAAGUUGGAUGUGAAAUCUCCGUGCUUAACAUGGAAAUUGCAUUCAAAACUGGAGGGCUUGAGUGUGGAAGAGGUAAGUGGAAUUCCCAGUGUAGCGGUGAAAUGCGUAGAUAUUGGGAGGAACACCAGUGGCGAAGGCGACUUACUGGGCCACAACUGACGCUGAUGCACGAAAGCGUGGGGAGCAAACAGG
RNAcentral lists this ribosomal RNA (253 nucleotides) under uncultured prokaryote. RNAcentral's name for it is "partial 16S ribosomal RNA". It matches the Rfam family "Bacterial small subunit ribosomal RNA", at positions 524 to 776 of the family's 1533-position model. The record is from RNAcentral.